GGCUCAACUAAGUUGAGGAAUACCAGAUUGUCAGCAUUAGCAUCCAUUUCUUCAUCUUCAUUUCUUGAAGCAUCAAAGGUUUCUUGAAGCUUUAAGGUUGUAUGGUCAUGGCUGGCGCCAAAUAGAAGAGCAUGUAGGCACUAAAUCUGUAGUUCAAAUUCGAAGCCAUGCUCAAAAGCUUUUCUCUAAGGCUCAUUGCUUUGACUUCAUUACAAGAUUUCUUUGAUUAAGUAAAUGUAUUAUAUCUUUUAUUACCAAGAUUUACUUGAUUAAGAAAAUGCAUUGUAUUUUUUAUUACCUUGCAAUGUGUAUAGUCAUAGGCAGGUUCAACUA
Gossypium raimondii (Peruvian cotton) is the source of this 333-nucleotide long non-coding RNA. RefSeq lists it as uncharacterized. The transcript is spliced from 2 exons. The record is from RefSeq and is a predicted model, not a curated record. Lineage: Eukaryota; Viridiplantae; Streptophyta; Magnoliopsida; Malvales; Malvaceae.